GGGCUCCUCCUUCCCAAACCCUCUUUCUCUUACCCGACCUCUCCCGGCGUUGGGGGUAGGGAAAGGGCGAAGGUGGGUUCGGCCGGAUUUUCUCUGCGCGUUCCAGGCAGGCAGGGUUCUGCCGAGCAGCCAACCAGGGCAGAGAUGGAGCCCAACUUGGACCCGCUCUCUCGCAAUUUGCAGGUUGGAGCAUGUAUCAACCCAUAGCCACAGGAUGGCAGUGUUUCCUAAUGAGAAAGCAUCUGGCUAGAAAAAAGAGAAGAAAAACAGUUCAAAAGUUGUGAAACUAAAGAACGCAGACAGACUUUCAGCGGCAGACCAUGGUAAGAGACUUAGAACAAAGUCUGAAGACGAUCUGUGCUCCAUGGUCACCACUGUAACUCAGGGCAACUUGACGAGACUCCGCAGCAUUGUUUCCCUUUGCCAGGUGGCUACUUCCGACUCAAAACGGAGCUAGCAAAUUCAAGGGGAGGCAGGGGCUCAUGAAGCCCAGGCUGAUCCCAAGUUCACUGUGUAGCCAAGAAUGACUUUGAACUUCUGCUACGUGCUGGGACCACAGUAUCCUUCUUGCUGUGGUAGCAGUCAUAUUGUUGCUGCUGUUCAACCAAGGCUGUGCCAUCUGAAGGUGAAACGUCUAUGGAAGGGAUCCCAGUAUGACCAUCCUCUUCUAUGUGCUAGAAAUGACACACCUCCUUGAUGAGUAGAGUCUGCCACGUAACCAUGAGAAUCAUUGCCCAACCCCACCAAAUGGCUGAUGGGUAGAAAAUACUUUGCAGUCCCCUAAAGGAGCACAUAUGGGACAAGUUCCUAAGAAGGCUUUGGUAUCAGUUGUGUGACAUUUGCUAUGAUGAUAAGGCACGAGGAUCCUGAAGACGACUCAGUGGAUAAAGACACGUGUCACCACCAUACAUGAUGACCUGAGCUUGAUCUGCUACACCCACAUGGUAGAAGGAGAAAACUGACUCCCACAAGCUCUCCUCUGACUACAUAUGUGUGCAUGCACACAUAAGUGUGUGUGGUGAAGGGAAGGCAUACAACUGUAGCUCAACUGUCUGCCCAGAAAGAACCUGCUCAUCUAAGGGACAAAUUGCAACAUGAAAAAUACGUUUGGAGUCUAUCCUUUUCAAUAGCCUCUUAAUUGGUAGGAAAUGUGGAAAAACAAGAGGAAAAAAGGGAAGGCAUUGACUUGCUGUUUCAUAGGAUGGGGCAUGUGAAGAAUAUAAGGGAAAGAGAAUACAAAUUAGAUCUGUGUUAAAUAGCCCCACUUGAGAUCCAAAAACACAGAACCCAUAGGAAAAAAUCUGACAGUGAAGAGGGGUAGGGGGACAGGAGAUACCCUUCAGGGCCAGCCUGUAAUACAGAGGAAGGGAAAACCCAUGAUUCAGCAAGCAGGUAGAGACCUUGAUAGUGGUCCAGAGCAGAAAACCACGAUAAUCAGAGACUACUCUGAACUGCUUUAGCUGGAAAAGACCAAAAAAUUAUACAGUGUCUCCAACCUUGGCUGGUGAGAAUAUGAGACAUGGGCGGGGGGUGGGGGGAGUCAGUCUGGAUGCUGUGGAAGCAAAGAGACUGAGUAAUACAGCUACUCCUUCAUCCUUGACUCAAAGAUUGUGUAUCUCAGACAACAUGAGAGAAAGCAGUCCUGUUGGCGAUACUUGCUUGUUACUGGUUGAGGUCCCUGGAGGAGGUUGCUCACGAAGCCCAGGCAAAUGUGACCAGCAGAACGGCAGCGACAACCCUAGAGCCUAUCAGAUUCAGGAAGCCGGAACGUGUAUGGCAAACAGCAGUACAGCCCUUCUCCUGGGCUGGCCUCAUAGCAGAUGGAACAGCACGAGCCAGACUUACUGGACCCUUCGGGAGUGAAGAUGUGUGGAGACAGUGCAGCAGCACCCAGGGUGAGGAAAUGGAAUAGCUAUGGAGAAUGACAGAAACCAAAAUCAGAUCACGCCUCUCAUCUGUGAUGCUGUAACCAGUAUUGCUCUUUUGAGGAAGCAGCUGAUGCAAAGUGAUGGAAUAUUUUCAUGCUGGCUUGGACCUUACUAACAUUAUUUUUUCUUUUUUUUUUCUUUUCUUUCUUUUUUGGUUUUUCGAGACAGGGUUUCUCUGUGUAGCUUUGGAGCGUGUCCUGGAACUCACUCUGUAGCCCAGGCUGGCCUCCAACUCUGCUUCCCGAAUGCUGGGAUUAAAGGCGUGCACCAUCACCACUGCCUGGCCUAACAUUAUUUUCUAACAUCAGUUUAGCUGACAGAUCCCAAGAUCAACUGGCACUCGCCUGAAAUGGUUGUUGGUGGGACGUCUGAGAUCCUGCCCACCCUUUGUGAAAAGGUUUCAUUAUUGGAUGCUCACCUCCAAGUGUUUUACCCGUUUAGACAAGCAUGGAAAGUGAUGAAGGUACCUAAUGGAGACGGUGGGGAACAGUCCACACAGGGACAAGGGCCGGGUACAGUGGUGCUAUUUGGGGGGGUUUAUGGUUGCCUAAGGUGUGACACCCAACAAGAUGAUUGACAAGAAUCCUACAACAACAGCUAGUGCCUGUAAGUUAAAAUAAUGGUUAAAGACUUUGAAUUAAGGUACCUUGUCUGGGUGGGAAAAGGCAUUCCCAGAAACUGUAAGAGUUUUUUGUUUGUUUGUUUGUUUUGAGACAGGAUUUCUCUGUGUAUCCCUGGCUAUCCUGUAACUUACUCUGUAGACCAGGCUGGCCUCAAACUCAGUCAUCUGCCUGCCUCUGCCUCCUGAGUGCUGGGAUUCAAGGUGUUCACCGCCACCAUCCAGUGCUGUAAGGUUAUUGAAUGAAAAUCUCAGUGGCAGAAAUGGGCCUCCAUCUUAUGAGAUGUUGAUCAGAGAUGCCCCCUGCUGAAGACUGGCUAUUGCCACUGUCUUUGGGUGCAUGCCAGAACUAGACUUCAAGACCCUGUUGCUGAAGACACCACACACUUUAGUUGCAAGAAAUGGGGAAAUCAGAUUGGAAUUGAACCCAGAGGGCCUUCUUUGCUCACUGGCUUUCGUGGUACCAGAAGGUACUCUGCAGACUUCCGGGGGAGGAUUGUCAUCUACAGUCUUGUUUGGUUAUGGACCCUGCAUGCUACACUAUGACAUGCCACGCAAGAUGUGCCCACGGGUCCAGUAGCAGUACAACUGUUACCAGUGCAACCCACGGCUUUCUAGUUGACUUUUUUUUUCAGAUUUACUUAUUAUGUGUAGUGUUCUGUCUGCACGCAUCCCUGCAGGCCAGAAGAGGGCGCCAGAUCUCAUUACAGAUGGUUGUGAGCCACCAUGUGGUUGCUGGGAAUUGAACUCAGGACCUUUAGAAGAACAGCCAGUGCUCUUAACCUCUGAACCAUCUCUCCAGCCCCCUCUAGUUGACUUUAAGGCCCCCUUUACAGGAAAUGACACGUGUUUGGUAUUGUAAGACAAAAAUCCCUAGUGGAGAAGUUAUUGCUGUUGUUUCCCGAAAUGGAUAUGAUAUGCCUGUCAAAUUGCCUUGUAAACAUUAUGUUUAGAUCCCUAGGUUAUUGCUCUUGUGGGUCUUGGCUGGAAGCUUCUUUAUAGAGUGGGUGGAGGUUACUAUUGAAAGUAUAAAUGACAAUUGCUGUGGUAGAGUGGAACAAUGCUCAGCUUUAAGUGGGGAAAAAUAAUCAUAUGUCCAUAUCACCUCCUCCAAGGCUCAGGAAACAUGGCAGAAGAGAGAGAGGAAAGAAUAUAAGAGCUGGAGAAAAGAGUGGAAUAUUGUGGAACUGUGUGCUCUGGACAUGACAGGACUGUUUCUAUCUUGGAAUCAUGUGGCUGUCUGCAUGAGACACUCACAUGACUGGGCCUACUAAUAUCCCCCAUGCGGAAGUGGGCAGAGCUCCCAAAGCUCACAAGGUGGCGUGAGUGGUGUUUGAGGGACUCGUGAGAUGUCUCAGGCUCCCAUCCUCCCUUGGGGAUACUCAAGUGGCUAAUAAUUGCUGAGAAGGGAGGCAUGUCUUUCAUGGUGUCACUCACCGAUUGCCCGUAUCCUGUAAAUAUCCUGUAAAUAACUCCAACUAAACUCAUCGUUUCACCAA
Peromyscus californicus insignis is the source of this 4046-nucleotide long non-coding RNA. RefSeq lists it as uncharacterized. NCBI's taxonomy places the organism in Eukaryota, Metazoa, Chordata, Mammalia, Rodentia, Cricetidae. The transcript is spliced from 6 exons. The record is from RefSeq and is a predicted model, not a curated record.